This 332-nucleotide unclassified non-coding RNA is filed under the name Sphaerobolus ingoldii. RNAcentral describes it as "partial internal transcribed spacer region". The stretch from base 1 to 46 matches the Rfam family "Eukaryotic small subunit ribosomal RNA", at positions 1786 to 1831 of the family's 1831-position model. Lineage: Eukaryota; Fungi; Basidiomycota; Agaricomycetes; Geastrales; Sphaerobolaceae. The record is from RNAcentral.
AAGUCGUAACAAGGUUUCCGUAGGUGAACCUGCGGAAGGAUCAUUACAGUAUGAAUAGAAGGUUUUGCUGCUGGCCUUACACCAAGGCAUGUGCGCACCUUCAAAUUUCUAAUCCACAUACACCUGUGAACCUUAGACGUAGAUUGGACUCCCGGCUUCUAUUUGGAGCCGUGAGCGGUUUCUAGGAGGUUUUUCCUUCAAAAGAGACUGAGUCUGACUCGUCUACUUUAACAUAUACCCCUAAACAAGUUUUAAAUGCAUGUCUUUUUAAUGGGCUCUAUGGAGCUUAUAAACAUUAAUACAACUUUCAACAACGGAUCUCUUGGCUUCCA